Small nuclear RNA from Physeter macrocephalus (sperm whale), 64 nucleotides. Its record names the gene U7. It matches the Rfam family "U7 small nuclear RNA". From Rfam's summary of the family: Animal histone pre-mRNAs are spliced by a different mechanism than nuclear pre-mRNAs and self-splicing introns. This processing involves the U7 snRNP, which contains only one RNA species: U7. The record is from Ensembl. Lineage: Eukaryota; Metazoa; Chordata; Mammalia; Artiodactyla; Physeteridae.
UAGUGUUACAGCUCUUUUAGAAUUUGUCUAGCAGUUUUUCCCGUCCGCACUGGAAAACACCCCA